Solanum lycopersicum (tomato) is the source of this 355-nucleotide non-coding RNA. The record is from RefSeq and is a predicted model, not a curated record. NCBI's taxonomy places the organism in Eukaryota, Viridiplantae, Streptophyta, Magnoliopsida, Solanales, Solanaceae.
GUUGCCUCCUUGCACAACUGAAUGUUACUCUAACCCUUCUCUUAUGGGCUGUACCAACUCUCUAAAACGCUCUCGUCUCUCUUCUUCUCACACAAGAUAUAUUACUCAACCAAGGCAUAAACAAAACAAUCAUCAAGAUUUUUUUGCCACCACUGUGUAUUGUACUUGAUAUCUCAUGGUUGUAAACUCACUUCCUUGAAGACCAAGUAAUUUUGAUUGAAUACUAAAAAAAAUAUAUUUCAGAUGUAAUUUUUUUUCCCUCUAGUGAAGAAUGUAUUGAAUUGCCUUUUUAUUAUGUUCUGUGAACCCUACCAUUCUAGGUAGGUACUAGUUAAAUGAAUUUUGGUGCACCACC